GUUCGUCGUACAUUUUAAGGCAACCUCGUGAGUGGUGUGCGAAUUCAUGGUGGUAUUAUCAGUAAUGUGUGAAUUCGGGAUAUCACAAUUAUUGGAUUAAAGGAGUCAUUAUCAGUGAUGUUUGAAUUGAGGGUGUCAUCUUCAGUGGUGUUUGAAGCAGAGUUAUUACCAUUUUUCACUUAUGAAUUGAAGAAAUCAUUAUAAAUGGGUAGUGAAUAAGGAAUAUCACCAUUAUAAGUUGAUCAAUUGGAUGUUUCAUCAUCAGUUGUUGUGUAAAUUUUAUGAGUAAAAAUAAGUGUUGUGUGUGAAUUUAUUGGGCUUCACUUUCAAG
This 331-nucleotide long non-coding RNA is filed under the name Mytilus galloprovincialis (Mediterranean mussel). The record is from RNAcentral. Lineage: Eukaryota; Metazoa; Mollusca; Bivalvia; Mytilida; Mytilidae.